This 381-nucleotide unclassified non-coding RNA is filed under the name soil metagenome. Its description in RNAcentral is "partial contains 5.8S ribosomal RNA, internal transcribed spacer 2, and large subunit ribosomal RNA". The stretch from base 1 to 120 matches the Rfam family "5.8S ribosomal RNA", at positions 35 to 154 of the family's 154-position model. The record is from RNAcentral.
GAUGAAGAACGCAGCGAAAUGCGAUAAGUAAUGUGAAUUGCAGAAUUCAGUGAAUCAUCGAAUCUUUGAACGCACCUUGCGCUCCUUGGUAUUCCGAGGAGCAUGCCUGUUUGAGUGUCAUUAAUAUAUCAACCUCUUCAGCUUAUGCUUGUUGAGUGUUGGAUGGUGGGGGUUUGCUGGUGUCUUAUGAAGUCAGCUCCUCUGAAAUGCAUUAGCGGAACAAUUUGUUGACCGUUCAUUGGUGUGAUAAAAAUAUCUACGCUAUUGACGUCAGUCAGUUCAGCUUCUAACAGUCCAUUGACUUGGACAAAUUUUUCACUAAUGUGACCUCAAAUCAGGUAGGACUACCCGCUGAACUUAAGCAUAUCAAUAAGCGGAGGA